CAGCCGCCACGGGAAUACGGAGGGUGCAAGCGUUAAUCGGAAUUACUGGGCGUAAAGCGCACGCAGGCGGUCUGUCAAGUCAGAUGUGAAAUCCCCGGGCUUAACCUGGGAACUGCAUUUGAAACUGGCAGACUGGAGUCUUGUAGAGGGGGGUAGAAUUCCAGGUGUAGCGGUGAAAUGCGUAGAGAUCUGGAGGAAUACCGGUGGCGAAGGCGGCCCCCUGGACAAAGACUGACGCUCAGGUGCGAAAGCGUGGGGAGCAAACAGGAUUAGAGACCCCUGUAGUCCCUGUCUCUUAUAC
This 301-nucleotide ribosomal RNA is filed under the name uncultured bacterium. RNAcentral describes it as "partial 16S ribosomal RNA". It matches the Rfam family "Bacterial small subunit ribosomal RNA", at positions 509 to 807 of the family's 1533-position model. The record is from RNAcentral.